AUCCAACUGACGAGUUCCAAACAGGAUGAAACGCGCGUCCUGGAU
This 45-nucleotide non-coding RNA is filed under the name Schistosoma curassoni. The record is from RNAcentral. Lineage: Eukaryota; Metazoa; Platyhelminthes; Trematoda; Strigeidida; Schistosomatidae.